RNAcentral lists this ribosomal RNA (468 nucleotides) under uncultured bacterium. RNAcentral's name for it is "partial 16S ribosomal RNA". It matches the Rfam family "Bacterial small subunit ribosomal RNA", at positions 28 to 507 of the family's 1533-position model. The record is from RNAcentral.
GACGAACGCUGGCGGCGUGCUUAACACAUGCAAGUCGAACGGAAAGGCCCUGCUUUUGUGGGGUGCUCGAGUGGCGAACGGGUGAGUAACACGUGAGUAACCUGCCCUUGACUUUGGGAUAACUUCAGGAAACUGGGGCUAAUACCGGAUAGGAGCUCCUGCUGCAUGGUGGGGGUUGGAAAGUUUCGGCGGUUGGGGAUGGACUCGCGGCUUAUCAGCUUGUUGGUGGGGUAGUGGCUUACCAAGGCUUUGACGGGUAGCCGGCCUGAGAGGGUGACCGGCCACAUGAGGACGGAGAUACGGCCCAGACGCCAACGGGAGGCAGCAGUGGGGAAUAUUGCACAAUGGGCGGAAGCCUGAUGCAGCAACGCCGCGUGCGGGAUGACGGCCUUCGGGUUGUAAACCGCUUUCGCCUGUGACGAAGCGUGAGUGACGGUAAUGGGUAAAGAAGCACCGGCUAACUACGUG